This 532-nucleotide long non-coding RNA is filed under the name Homo sapiens (human). Its description in RNAcentral is "non-protein coding lnc-PRKD1-1:10". The record is from RNAcentral. Lineage: Eukaryota; Metazoa; Chordata; Mammalia; Primates; Hominidae.
GCUCGCUCUCUCCUGCUCCACCAUGAUAAGAUGUGCUUGCUUCCCCUUCACUUUCCGACUUGAUCGACCUUCAAGUACAUGCUCCAUUGAACUCUCUGAAUUCAGCUGGCUAAAAAAGAAGAAAGAGAAGAUGGAGAAGGCACAACCAUUCUAAACUGCCUUGACAUGGAGGUGACACCAGUUUUAUUGUAGGAAUAAGUGACAUGAUUGUAUCUAAUUGCAAGGGCCUGGGAAGCACAACUAACCAUGCACCAAAGAAGACAAGAACACAGGCAGCUUGGGUCAUGUGCUACAGCUUUCCUGUGAUCACCUUGCCUCUGAAAUAUCUGAAAAUGGCUUUCUCUUCAUUCAUUUCUACAUCUUCAUUCAUUCUCCCAGGUCUUGCAAUGGUUGUGUUGGGGAGAUGUUCAUCAUUUAUAUCUUGUUUCCGAUGUCAACUCCUCUCUGAAAUAUGCCAUGUUAGCCCUUGGAGAAUUAGGUGGCGACUUAUAUAGCAUCUACUUUUGUGUUCAUCUCCUCUAAUGUUGAUUGG